RNAcentral lists this unclassified non-coding RNA (598 nucleotides) under Acidithiobacillus thiooxidans. RNAcentral's name for it is "partial contains 16S ribosomal RNA, 16S-23S ribosomal RNA intergenic spacer, and 23S ribosomal RNA". The stretch from base 77 to 150 matches the Rfam family "tRNA". The record is from RNAcentral. Lineage: Bacteria; Pseudomonadati; Pseudomonadota; Acidithiobacillia; Acidithiobacillales; Acidithiobacillaceae.
GUNGGGGACCUGCGGCUGGAUCACCUCCUUUAAAGAAACGGGUCUAGACCCCACACACGCCACUCGGUAAAGAAUCGGGCCUAUAGCUCAGCUGGCUAGAGCACACGACUGAUAAUCGUGAGGUCAGUGGUUCGAGUCCACUUGGGCCCACCAAAUGGGGCUGUAGCUCAGCUGGGAGAGCAUCGGCUUUGCAAGCCGAGGGUCACCGGUUCGAUCCCGGUCAGCUCCACCAAAGGGAAGAGGCCCGCAGCGCGCGGGUCGGCGGCUUGGGUGGAGGCGGUAGCGGUGUAAAAGCCGUCAAGAAGUAGCUGUAAAGCGCAGUAAGAAGGCGUAGUAAAAAGAGUCUGUAGUAGUGAGUUUCUGAUCAGAAGCUGAGUACUACCGAUUCAGGGUAACGAAGCGGUAUUGUUCUUUGACAGUUGAGGAAGGGAAGGCCAUGUAUGUCAUCUUGCCGAUGGCAUGCCUCCAAGUGGAUGCUUGGGGAUAUAUGGUCAAGUGAAUAAGGGCAUACGGUGGAUGCCUUGGCAGAGACAGGCGAUGAAGGACGUGGAUACCUGCGAAAAGCCUCGGGGAGCUGGUAAACAAGCUUUGAUCGGAA